RNAcentral lists this transfer RNA (73 nucleotides) under Paramuricea clavata. It matches the Rfam family "tRNA". Rfam says of the family: Transfer RNA (tRNA) molecules are approximately 80 nucleotides in length. Their secondary structure includes four short double-helical elements and three loops (D, anti-codon, and T loops). Lineage: Eukaryota; Metazoa; Cnidaria; Anthozoa; Malacalcyonacea; Plexauridae. The record is from Rfam by way of RNAcentral.
GACCGCGUAGCUCAGUUGGAAGAGCAUUUGGCUGGUAUUCCAAAGGUCGUAGGUUCGAAUCCCACCGUGGCCG